AUCUGGCUUCCUAUCGGUUAAAUGAGAUUUGCAUUUAUUAUAAAAGUUGUAGGCUAUAAAAUUCCCUACAACUUUUGUUUGAACUUUUUUUUCAUACAACCAACCGUUUUGAAGGUAGAGCGCGAAGAGUGCACAUCGUACAGUCAUAUACGGCCUAAUGCAAGGUCAAGCGUGAGUUAUGGUUAUCAGUACGUUAUAAAGUCAAUUAUUUACUUGGAAAUUAUAAUUAUUAAACAAUGCCUAUUAUUUAUGUACUAACUAUUAAUUAUUUAUAUUUAAUUAAAGUAAGUAACUUGAUUAUUUAUAUAUAAUUAUUCAUAUUUAACUAUUUAAGUAUAAAAUAUUAUUAAUUCUGGAUUAUAUAUUUUAGUUUUAUUUCAAGUUAAAAUGAUAGUAAGAGUAUAUAUUUUACACAUAUUUUUAUUUAUUAUUAAAUACGGCAUAAUAUACAUUUAUCAAAAUGUGAGUUCAAAUAUCAAAAGUAUCUUUGUUGAUUUUAAUUGUAAUGAAAUUGGAAAUGGAAGCUAAUUAUCUUCUUCUUCGUCGUCUUCUUCUUCUUGUCGCUCAAAAAUGUUCGAUUCAUUGUCAUCAUCCUCAUUAUCUGUCAUGUUCAUCUCCAAACCUUCCAGAAUAUCGGGAUCAUAUGUAUUUUCUUCAUCGGGAUUACUUGGAUACAGUGAAGCGUUGAGGCAAGCUUGUCCGUUGCACUGGCCGCAAGCUAAAGAACAUUGUAGCCCUGAUUUUCUGCAUCCACAGCGGGAACCACAACCAUUUUUGCAAUUGCAAAAUAUUACGUUUAGUAGUUCGGCUGGUGCUGGAGGUAAUAACGUUCGUAUGGGCUCCAGGAUUUCAUUUUCAAGCAUCCAGCCCCAUUCUUGAGGUUCUAAGUCCUUCCCUAACCACGUUUGAAUCUGGUAGUAGACACGUUUUAUGUGUUGAUGAGCUGCUACACUUGUUGGUGGAAGUGUUGACAGUUGUACAGGUUUAUUUAGUUUUGUAAAUUUGAUGAAUUGCGUGUAGCGGAAAUGAUUAAUGUUGUCCUCAGAUUUAUAUUUUAUACUUAAAUAGUUAAAUAUGAAUAAUUAUAUAUAAAUAAUCAAGUUACUUACUUUAAUUAAAUAUAAAUAAUUAAUAGUUAGUACAUAAAUAAAAGGCAUUGUUUAAUAAUUAUAAUUUCCAAGUAAAUAAUUGACUUUAUAACGUACUGAUAACCAUAACUCACGCUUGACCUUGCAUUAGGCCGUAUAUGACUGUACGAUGUGCACUCUUCGCGCUCUACCUUCAAAACGGUUGGUCGUAUGAAAAAAAAGUUUAAACAAAAGUUGUAGGGAAUUUUAUAGCCUACAACUUUUAUAAUAAAUGCAAAUCUCAUUUAACCGAUAGGAAGCCAGAUAUUCGCGAAAAACCGAUUUUUGUGACCUUUGACCUUGAAUAUCUUGAGACGCGGACACGAUAACGAUUGUGACUUUUGAGAGAACAUUUAGAAUGACAAAACAAAGGUUCAUACCAAUUUGCAGCUUAUUAUCUUUCAUUCCGAGGUUGACCCCUUUUUUUACCUAAUAUGAUUGGGCUAUAAAAUCGAAUCAAAAUCAACACACACACCAGGUAUUCUAUGAAUCUUAACCUACAGGUCCCUUCCAGUCAGUGUGACCAUCUAUAGUAGAAAUCUACUAUUGUAGUAGAUUUCGGGCCACCCAUGGUAGAUAAAUUUUUCAUAGUAGAUUUCUGAUUUGUUUGUCUGUUAGAUACUAGAUGGCACUAUUCGCAAUGAGUUUAAAAAUUUGAAACCACCAAAACUCUGGCUCAGCCAACAUCGAAAAAUAUUCGCACAUUUCGAAAUUUGCCAAGCAAAUGCUAUGUUUGCCAUUGCCUAAUGUUAAAUGCGAAAGAAUAUUUUCCGAAAUCAAUAGAAUAAAAACAAAAGAUAGGAAUAGAUUCAUGAACAUAAAUGUUGCUUCGAUUCUAAAGAAGGAUUAAAGGAAGCUGGUGAAUGUAGCGAAUUUACUCCAGAUUCAGAAAAGUUGAAUAUGAUGAAUAAAAAUACACUUUAUGAAAAUAUGAAACUUUCUGAGAUAAAUAUAGGUAUGUACUUUUUUCAAUUUUAGGUAGACAACGUUAUUUUAUUGAUUUUCUAACUAUACUAUAUAUAUUUUUUAUUAUAUGUUGUAUUUUUGUAUAUAUUUUAAUAUGUGUAUAUUUUUUAGAUAUUAUUUUUACACUUUUGAAUGUAUAGGGGCCAAUAAUAUGUUAUGAUACAUAAAUUCACAUUAUGUUAUAAUGCUAUGAAUAAACCCGUUAUUUAUUUAUUUUAUAUUUGAAUCAGUAUUUUGUCAGUUUUAAAUAUCAUUGAUAAAUACCUACAAAUAUGGAUAUGCGCAUGCGCAAAGCUGAUAGUAGAUUUCUAUCAUCCUCGUAGUAGCACAGAUUACUAACCACAGAUUACUGUCUGUGGUAGUAGAUUCGCUUUUUGAAAGAUGGUCACACUACUCACACUGCUUCCAGUUCUUUCUUCAGUUCACAGAUCCACACAUAGAACAAAAAUGGGUGGAACAACAACCCAACAUGUUUACAGUUCAUGAGAACUUUUGAAAGGCUUUUGCUACAGUUUUCCAAAGGAUGACAAAUUAAGGGAAUUGUAGAUGAAAGCUGUAGGAAGAAUUGAUUUCCACCCUUCUUCCUCGUUGAAAAUAUGCAGUAUGGAUUAAACAUACCAUCAUGCGGUUUUACGAAGAUCUGCAGAGGAAUUGAGAUAGCCAUAAAAAACUUUGAGUGUGACGGAUAAUAGAGUUCCUGCUGAAAACAAAUUUCUUAAUGCUUUUAUCACUGCCAAUGCUUAACAUUAUUACCCACUGAUGACUAAUUUAUUUCCUGAAUUAGAUGACCAUUUUUAUGAAUCAUCCCCUGUGGGUGUUAAUAAUGGAUUUCUAUUGAUCAAGGAGAUAGUAAAAGCCUAUUUCAAAACUAGGGUUUUCAAUCUUGCGAAAAAAUGUACUCAAAAAUACAAGGUCAAUCUGUUCGACAGCAGCUUACAAAAUUUAUUUUAUUUAAUCACCAAUAAUGUAUAUUAGAUAUAUUUCCCAUUCCUGCAUGAUGAAUUUGUCAAUUUUAAGUUCAGAGUCUCAAUUCAGAAAAACUAAUUUUUAAUAUUAUAUUUUCCAUUCACCACUGAUUUCAGGAUAAAUUUCUCCAGUUGAAAUUCUUAUUGUAAACUUCUCGAAUGUUUAAAUUGUCAAGAAUUAUUUUGUAUAGUAUUUUAGGCUUAAUUGCCACUAGUUACCAAUUGCACUUGUGGAUCAGAAAUAAAGACUUCAUAAUAUCAAUGACUUGCAGAACAUUGAUUAAUUUUCUAUUGUACAGUUUUUACUAUAUCAAAUAUAUAUUCUUUAUUUGUUAUAAAUUUCAUUGAAUAAUUCCAUUCAAGCUUAAACACUAGGUUUUACGCAAUAUACUCAUUAUCUAUCACUAUGUUCGUGGAGGAGUAAAAUAUAAUUUUGAUACUAA
Harmonia axyridis is the source of this 3501-nucleotide long non-coding RNA. RefSeq lists it as uncharacterized. The transcript is spliced from 2 exons. NCBI's taxonomy places the organism in Eukaryota, Metazoa, Arthropoda, Insecta, Coleoptera, Coccinellidae. The record is from RefSeq and is a predicted model, not a curated record.